AAGACCCUGCGCUUUUGGAGCGGCCGAUGCCUGAUUAGCUAGUUGGUGGGGUAAAAGCUUACCAAGGCAACGAUCAGUAGUUGGUCUGAGAGGACGGCCAGCCACACUGGGACUGAGACACGGCCCAGACUCCUACGGGAGGCAGCAGUGGGGAAUUUUGGACAAUGGGCGCAAGCCUGAUCCAGCAAUGCCGCGUGAGUGAAGAAGGCCUUCGGGUUGUAAAGCUCUUUCAGUCGAGAAGAAAAGAUUGUGACGAAUAAUCACAAUUCAUGACGGUAUCGACAGAAGAAGCACCGGCUAACUACGUGCCAGCAGCCGCGGUAAUACGUAGGGUGCAAGCGUUAAUCGGAAUUACUGGGCGUAAAGGGUGCGCAGGCGGCUUUGUAAGUCAGAUGUGAAAUCCCCGGGCUUAACCUGGGAAUU
This 423-nucleotide ribosomal RNA is filed under the name uncultured bacterium. RNAcentral's name for it is "bacterial SSU rRNA". It matches the Rfam family "Bacterial small subunit ribosomal RNA", at positions 207 to 622 of the family's 1533-position model. The record is from RNAcentral.